GCCAACUAGCGUCCAUAACUUUGUGGGCUCUGUCACAUUGACAUUUAGGUCGUAUAUUUGUGAAAAAAUAUCGAAAUGAAAAAAUAACAAAUAUUUUCAACUAAUAAAUUGUUGUGAUACCACGAUUUGGGUGGAAAAAAGGUUUUGAAAUAAUUUUGGUCAUUCAAAUCAAAUGAGAUCGAAAUGAGUAUUGUUUUGAAGACCGGGUUUGUGAGUUUUACAAUAUCAAAUUCCAACCACAAACCGUAUUUAAAGGAAAGUUGUUGGUAUUGGCUGGACAAGUCCGAGAUGUAGAAGAAUUAAGAACAAAACAAGGGCAGAGUUCAAUAAUUCACGCUCUCAUCAUAAGGCAAACAUCUGUGCACAACAACUACUGUGACUCAUUUUUGUACUACCACGUUGUAUAGUCUAGUUAUUUCCAAAUUGUAAACGGCUAUUAAACCAGCCCUAUCGAAAAACA
Long non-coding RNA from Ostrinia nubilalis (European corn borer), 460 nucleotides. RefSeq lists it as uncharacterized. The transcript is spliced from 2 exons. NCBI's taxonomy places the organism in Eukaryota, Metazoa, Arthropoda, Insecta, Lepidoptera, Crambidae. The record is from RefSeq and is a predicted model, not a curated record.